This is a long non-coding RNA of Gasterosteus aculeatus aculeatus (three-spined stickleback), 1230 nucleotides long. NCBI's taxonomy places the organism in Eukaryota, Metazoa, Chordata, Actinopteri, Perciformes, Gasterosteidae. The record is from Ensembl.
GGUAGACCUGGAGGCCGUAGAAGAAGAGGGUCAAAUUUAUCCAAUGAAAUUCGAGCAGCAUUGGUUGUGAACCAUGGGGCAACAUUGAGAGAGGCUGGACAGCGAGUUCAGCCCAACCUCAGCCAAUAUGCUGUUGCGUCAUUAAUACGGACAUUUCGCCAAGAGCACCGGGGAGAUUUGCUUUUCUCUACUCUCUACAGUACAGUAAAAUGCAGCCUAUAUGCACUACAUGAGUAUUUUUUGUACCCAUUCACUGCAGUCCAUGAUUGAAACAAUGCCUAAAAGUCUGGCCUGUGACAUUUUACAUUUUGAUUUUUCAACAUAGGACUGAGGCCCGACAACAUCAUGGAUGAAGGGGCCGAAUAUUCUGAGACUAACAAGAGACAGCUAUCAUAAACAUGGUUUUAGCCAAUAAUGCUAUAUGAAAUCCAUCCACCAAACCCUUUUCAGUAACGUCAAUCAGGUCUCCAUAUCAACACUGGGACGAAUCCUUAAAAAACAUCAUGUACAGGUGAAACAAUUGUACAAAGUGCCAUUUGAAAGAAAUUCAGAGAGAGUGAAGAACCUGCAAUAUGUUGAGAAUUUUGCAAAUGGAUGCUGAUGCAAUCCGGCAUGAAUUCAUAUUCAUAGAGAGGCUGGGUUUCACCUGACUAAGGUUAGAAGAAGAGGGAGAAACAUCAUCGGCCACAGAGCUUUUCUGCAUGUUCUGGCCCAACGUGGUAACAUCACAAUGUGCACCGUAAUCACGCAGAAUGGGGUCCUCCACCGCCAUGCCAAGUUAGAUCCAUACAGCACAAACCACAUCCUCACAUUUUUAGACCAACUACAUGACAUUGUCACACCAGAAGACCAGAUGGAGGCAGAGCAGAUGAGAUAUGUUGUCAUCUGGGACAAUGUAUCUUUUCACCAAUCUACUCUGGUCCAAAACUGGUUUCAACAGCACACAUCAUUUCAGUUCAGUACCUUCCACCAUACUCUCUCUUCCUUAAUCCCAUUGAGGAGUUUUUCUCUGCAUGGCGGUGGAAGGUUUACGAUCUCCAGCCCUAUGUCAGGAUACCCCUCAUUCAAGCCAUGGAGGAGGCGUACAACCAAAUUGAUGCAGGGUCUGUGCAAGGAUGGAUUCGCCAUUCAAGAAGAUUCUUCCCUCGCUGUCUGGCGAGAGAGAAUGUAGCCUGCAAUGUGGAUGAAGUGCUCUGGCCCGAUCCAGCUAGGCGAAGAGAUGAUGCCUAA